UAAGACUUUGAAAAUGAAAAUUAAUAAAUUGGAUUUGAGAACAAAAAUAUUAACAUGCAAAAUAAAGUUGAUUCAAUUGACAAAAGAAAACAAUGGAUGAAUGAAUGUUGUUGGGGGUUUACAAUUUCAUCUAAUUCGCCCUCUCUUAUCUACUCCUCUUGAAUAUUAGUUUGAUUAAUUAAUUGUUAUGCGACUUUCUUAGCCUACCCUUAACCCGAUCCCUCGCCGAAAAGAGCCUAAUAUUAACUAUUGGCUUGCUAUCCCUAGCCUUCCCUAGUAAUUAAUACCGCAUUAUAAACAGAAGUUAACGCAAUUGAUCGUCCUAUCCCUAUCCCUAGAUGAUAUUGCAAAAUCAAGGAAUUACCAACCAGUUCAUGUCAUUACUGUACGUCCC
RNAcentral lists this long non-coding RNA (394 nucleotides) under Vigna radiata. Its description in RNAcentral is "long non-coding RNA (VRAD_LNC006836)". Lineage: Eukaryota; Viridiplantae; Streptophyta; Magnoliopsida; Fabales; Fabaceae. The record is from RNAcentral.